GUCCACAACCAGGUCCACAUUUAGGUCUACAUUUAGGUCCACAUCCAGGUCCACAACCAGGUCUACAUCUAGGUCCACAACCAGGUCCACAUUUAGGUCUACAUUUAGGUCCACAUCCAGGUCCACAACCAGGGCUACAUCUAGGUCCACAACCAGGUCCACAUUUAGGUCUACAUCUAGGUCCACAACCAGGUCCACAACCAGGUCCACAACCAGGUCCACAUCUAGGUCCACAACCAAGUCCACAUCUAGGUCCACAUCCAGGUUCACAUCCAGGUUCACAUCUAGGUCCACGUCUAGGUCCACAACCAGGUCCACAUCUAUGUCCACAACCAAGUCCACAUCUAGGUCCACAUCUAGGUCCA
Long non-coding RNA from Lates calcarifer (barramundi perch), 365 nucleotides. RefSeq lists it as uncharacterized. The record is from RefSeq and is a predicted model, not a curated record. NCBI's taxonomy places the organism in Eukaryota, Metazoa, Chordata, Actinopteri, Centropomidae. The transcript is spliced from 3 exons.